RNAcentral lists this ribosomal RNA (168 nucleotides) under Polhillia pallens. Its description in RNAcentral is "5.8S ribosomal RNA". It matches the Rfam family "5.8S ribosomal RNA". Rfam says of the family: 5.8S ribosomal RNA (5.8S rRNA) is a component of the large subunit of the eukaryotic ribosome. It is transcribed by RNA polymerase I as part of the 45S precursor that also contains 18S and 28S rRNA. The record is from RNAcentral. Lineage: Eukaryota; Viridiplantae; Streptophyta; Magnoliopsida; Fabales; Fabaceae.
AUCCGAAAGACUCUCGGCAACGGAUAUCUCGGCUCUUGCAUCGAUGAAGAACGUAGCGAAAUGCGAUACUUGGUGUGAAUUGCAGAAUCCCGUGAACCAUCGAGUCUUUGAACGCAAGUUGCGCCCGAAGCCAUUAGGCUGAGGGCACGCCUGCCUGGGUGUUGCACA